RNAcentral lists this ribosomal RNA (168 nucleotides) under uncultured Cortinarius. Its description in RNAcentral is "partial 28S ribosomal RNA". It matches the Rfam family "Eukaryotic large subunit ribosomal RNA", at positions 1 to 166 of the family's 3401-position model. The record is from RNAcentral. Lineage: Eukaryota; Fungi; Basidiomycota; Agaricomycetes; Agaricales; Cortinariaceae.
GUGACCUCAAAUCAGGUAGGACUACCCGCUGAACUUAAGCAUAUCAAUAAGCGGAGGAAAAGAAACUAACAAGGAUUCCCCUAGUAACUGCGAGUGAAGCGGGAAAAGCUCAAAUUUAAAUCUGGCGGCCUUUUGCUGUCCGAGUUGUAAUCUAGAGAAGUGUUAUCC